RNAcentral lists this ribosomal RNA (253 nucleotides) under uncultured bacterium. RNAcentral's name for it is "partial 16S ribosomal RNA". It matches the Rfam family "Bacterial small subunit ribosomal RNA", at positions 524 to 776 of the family's 1533-position model. The record is from RNAcentral.
UACGUAGGUGGCAAGCGUUGUCCGGAUUUACUGGGCGUAAAGGGCGUGCAGGCGGUCUGUUUAGUCUAGGGUGAAAGCUCCCGGCUCAACUGGGAGAGGUUCUUGGAUACUGGCAGACUUGAGGGAGGUAGAGGAGAGUGGAAUUCCCGGUGUAGUGGUGAUAUGCGUAGAUAUCGGGAGGAACACCAGUGGCGAAGGCGGCUCUCUGGGCCUUACCUGACGCUGAGACGCGAAAGCGUGGGGAGCGAACCGG